RNAcentral lists this ribosomal RNA (254 nucleotides) under uncultured bacterium. RNAcentral's name for it is "partial 16S ribosomal RNA". It matches the Rfam family "Bacterial small subunit ribosomal RNA", at positions 524 to 776 of the family's 1533-position model. The record is from RNAcentral.
UACGUAGGCAGCGAGCGUUGUUCGGAAUUACUGGGCGUAAAGAGUGUGUAGGCGGUGCUCUAAGUUCGGUGUGAAAUCUCCUGGCUCAACUGGGAGGGUGCGCCGGAAACUGGAGUGCGUUGAGCGUGGGAGAGGAAAGCGGAAUUCCUGGUGUAGCGGUGAAAUGCGUAGAUAUCAGGAGGAACACCUGUGGUGUAGACGGCUUUCUGGACCAUAGCUGACGCUGAGACACGAAAGCGUGGGUAGCAAACAGG